GUAGGUGGCAAGCGUUGUCCGGAAUUAUUGGGCGUAAAGCGCGCGCAGGUGGUUCUUUAAGUCUGAUGUGAAAGCCCACGGCUCAACCGUGGAGGGUCAUUGGAAACUGGGGAACUUGAGUGCAGAAGAGGAAAGUGGAAUUCCAAGUGUAGCGGUGAAAUGCGUAGAGAUUUGGAGGAACACCAGUGGCGAAGGCGACUUUCUGGUCUGUAACUGACACUGAGGCGCGAAAGCGUGGGGAGCAAACAGGAUUAGAUACCCUGGUAGUCCACGCCGUAAACGAUGAGUGCUAAGUGUUAGAGGGUUUCCGCCCUUUAGUGCUGCAGCUAACGCAUUAAGCACUCCGCCUGGGGAGUACGGCCGCAAGGCUG
This 371-nucleotide ribosomal RNA is filed under the name uncultured bacterium. RNAcentral's name for it is "bacterial SSU rRNA". It matches the Rfam family "Bacterial small subunit ribosomal RNA", at positions 527 to 896 of the family's 1533-position model. The record is from RNAcentral.